This 492-nucleotide ribosomal RNA is filed under the name uncultured bacterium. RNAcentral's name for it is "partial 16S ribosomal RNA". It matches the Rfam family "Bacterial small subunit ribosomal RNA", at positions 29 to 507 of the family's 1533-position model. The record is from RNAcentral.
AGUGAACGCUGGCGGUAGGCCUAACACAUGCAAGUCGAACGGCAGCACAGUAAGAGCUUGCUCUUACGGGUGGCGAGUGGCGGACGGGUGAGGAAUACAUCGGAAUCUACUUUUUCGUGGGGGAUAACGUAGGGAAACUUACGCUAAUACCGCAUACGACCUACGGGGGAAAGCAGGGGAUCUUCGGACCUUGCGCGAUUGAAUGAGCCGAUGUCGGAUUAGCUAGUUGGCGGGGUAAAGGCCCACCAAGGCGACGAUCCGUAGCUGGUCUGAGAGGAUGAUCAGCCACACUGGAACUGAGACACGGUCCAGACUCCUACGGGAGGCAGCAGUGGGGAAUAUUGGACAAUGGGCGCAAGCCUGAUCCAGCCAUACCGCGUGGGUGAAGAAGGCCUUCGGGUUGUAAAGCCCUUUUGUUGGGAAAGAAAAGCAGCAGGUUAAUACCCCGCUGUUCUGACGGUACCCAAAGAAUAAGCACCGGCUAACUUCGCG